RNAcentral lists this ribosomal RNA (253 nucleotides) under uncultured bacterium. RNAcentral describes it as "partial 16S ribosomal RNA". It matches the Rfam family "Bacterial small subunit ribosomal RNA", at positions 524 to 776 of the family's 1533-position model. The record is from RNAcentral.
UACGGAGGGGGCUAGCGUUGUUCGGAAUUACUGGGCGUAAAGCGCACGUAGGCGGCUUUGUAAGUUAGAGGUGAAAGCCCAGGGCUCAACCCUGGAAUUGCCUUUAAGACUGCAUCGCUUGAAUUGUGGAGAGGUAAGUGGAAUUCCGAGUGUAGAGGUGAAAUUCGUAGAUAUUCGGAAGAACACCAGUGGCGAAGGCGACUUACUGGACACAUAUUGACGCUGAGGUGCGAAAGCGUGGGGAGCAAACAGG